Molecule: long non-coding RNA, 524 nt
Filed under: Felis catus (domestic cat)
Lineage: Eukaryota; Metazoa; Chordata; Mammalia; Carnivora; Felidae
Description: lncRNA (ENSFCAG00000044926.2)
Source: RNAcentral
AUGGAAUCCCAAACAAAUGCCGGAAAAAGGCUGCAUUUGGCGACAAUCUGCCUAACGGCUCCAGGUUCCCGACGUCGCGUGCGGAAACGCCCUCUGAAGAGCGUGACAGCCAGAGCAGAACCGCCCCCGCGCCCGCAGCCCCGGCUGAAGGACUCGCGGCCGGAAGUGGCCCGUGGCCACGCCCCUCCCUGCGUCGUGGGCGGGGCGCCUCCUGGGCUGUUCCCCCAGCGGGUUCCAGUCGCGCAACGACCGCGUGGUAGAAUAUCCGGCUCCGUGCCUUUUGCUUCGGUGUUUCCUAGGCAUCGUCGUGCAGAGAGUGUCGAGCCCGCCCAAAAUGGUCGUUUCCCCUACAGUUUCCUGUACCUUUUGAGAUGUCCGUUGUUCUGUCUGGUCCUGCCAUUGAUCCAUGCCAUUUGCUACUGAGAUGUCUUCAUUCCUGUCUGCCUGGUCCCAUCAGGACAAAAGAUGAAUCAUAAAAAAAGAAAAAAAAAAAGAAGUAGAAAUAAAAGGAGGAAACAACCACA